AUUUAUUUAAAUAAUGAAUUUAUUAAUUUUGUUUUGAUAAAACAAAUAAGAAAAAUAUUUUUCAAUAAAUA
This 71-nucleotide transfer RNA is filed under the name Riccardoella reaumuri. RNAcentral describes it as "tRNA-Ile". Lineage: Eukaryota; Metazoa; Arthropoda; Arachnida; Trombidiformes; Ereynetidae. The record is from RNAcentral.